UGUUGGAUGAUGAAAAGAAUUAGUGGAUUCCAACUGAUUUUUAAUACAUGAUAUCUCAAGUAGCUACUUCUGAGAACA
Small nucleolar RNA from Juglans regia (Persian walnut), 78 nucleotides. RefSeq annotates it as small nucleolar RNA R12. Lineage: Eukaryota; Viridiplantae; Streptophyta; Magnoliopsida; Fagales; Juglandaceae. The transcript has a single exon. The record is from RefSeq and is a predicted model, not a curated record.